GAUGAACGCUAGCGGCAGGCCUAACACAUGCAAGUCGAGGGGUAGAAUUAGCUUGCUAAUUUGAGACCGGCGCACGGGUGCGUAACGCGUAUGCAAUCUACCUUGUACAGAGGGAUAGCCCAGAGAAAUUUGGAUUAAUACCUCAUAGUAUUAUGAUUCGGCAUCGAAUUAUUAUUAAAGUUCCAACGGUACAAGAUGAGCAUGCGUCCCAUUAGCUAGUUGGUGUGGUAACGGCACACCAAGGCAACGAUGGGUAGGGGUCCUGAGAGGGAGAUCCCCCACACUGGUACUGAGACACGGACCAGACUCCUACGGGAGGCAGCAGUGAGGAAUAUUGGUCAAUGGAGGCAACUCUGAACCAGCCAUGCCGCGUGCAGGAAGACGGUCCUAUGGAUUGUAAACUGCUUUUAUACGGGAAGAAACACCGGUUCGUGAACCGGCUUGACGGUACCGUAAGAAUAAGGAUCGGCUAACUCCGUG
Molecule: ribosomal RNA, 480 nt
Filed under: uncultured organism
Description: bacterial SSU rRNA
Rfam family: Bacterial small subunit ribosomal RNA
Source: RNAcentral